UCCGCUUUUCAAGCGGGAGGUAUAAUAAAUUAAAUUACUUUGAAGGAAACAAAUGAUGAAGAUGGUAAUGAAAGAAGAGAUGACAAGAGACCAUCCCCUUCAACAGAUAAAAAGGAGGUUUGGGAUACCUUCCAAAUUAUGGACAAAGAAAACCAACGCGUCGAUGUUCACACACAUACCAGUUUUCGCAUUAUAAAAAUUCUAUUAUACAUGUUUCUGUUCCUCAUCUUGCUGGCCUCACUUGUAAUACAGAAGAUAAGUCUAUUAAUUGCUACAUCAAAACUUAAAAAAAUCAACCCUGCAAAUGCAACUGGAAAUGAUACCAUCGAAAACGAGAUUUCAAACCCAGGGGUUCAUAGUCUUCUGCUAGUGUUCGUGAUAUGUACUCCAUAUGUUAUGACAUUUCUUGCAAGCUGCUGGAAAGUUUUCUUUGGAAAUAUAAAACGGCCUUCAUUGACAACAAUC
This is a long non-coding RNA of Saccostrea cuccullata (small rock oyster), 465 nucleotides long. RefSeq lists it as uncharacterized. The transcript has 3 exons. The record is from RefSeq and is a predicted model, not a curated record. NCBI's taxonomy places the organism in Eukaryota, Metazoa, Mollusca, Bivalvia, Ostreida, Ostreidae.